This 1400-nucleotide ribosomal RNA is filed under the name uncultured bacterium. RNAcentral's name for it is "16S ribosomal RNA". It matches the Rfam family "Bacterial small subunit ribosomal RNA". The record is from RNAcentral.
AGAGUUUGAUCCUGGCUCAGGAUGAACGCUAGCUACAGGCUUAACACAUGCAAGUCGAGGGGCAGCAUGGUCUUAGCUUGCUAAGGCCGAUGGCGACCGGCGCACGGGUGAGUAACACGUAUCCAACCUGCCGUCUACUCUUGGACAGCCUUCUGAAAGGAAGAUUAAUACAAGAUGGCAUCAUGAGUCCGCAUGUUCACAUGAUUAAAGGUAUUCCGGUAGACGAUGGGGAUGCGUUCCAUUAGAUAGUAGGCGGGGUAACGGCCCACCUAGUCUUCGAUGGAUAGGGGUUCUGAGAGGAAGGUCCCCCACAUUGGAACUGAGACACGGUCCAAACUCCUACGGGAGGCAGCAGUGAGGAAUAUUGGUCAAUGGGCGAGAGCCUGAACCAGCCAAGUAGCGUGAAGGAUGACUGCCCUAUGGGUUGUAAACUUCUUUUAUAAAGGAAUAAAGUCGGGUAUGCAUGCCCGUUUGCAUGUACUUUAUGAAUAAGGAUCGGCUAACUCCGUGCCAGCAGCCGCGGUAAUACGGAGGAUCCGAGCGUUAUCCGGGUUUUAUGGGGUUAAAAGGGAGCGUAGAUGGAAGUUUAAGUCAGUUGUGAAAGUUUGCGGCUCAACCGUAAAAAUGCCAGUGAAUACUGGGAUAUCUUGAGUGCAGUUGAGGCAGGCGGAAUUCGUGGUGUAGCGGUGAAAUGCUUAGAUAUCACGAAGAACUCCGAUUGCGAAGGCAGCCUGCUAAGCUGCAACUGACAUUGAGGCUCGAAAGUGUGGGUAUCAAACAGGAUUAGAUACCCUGGUAGUCCACACGAUAAACGAUGAAUACUCGCUGUUUGCGAUAUACGGCAAGCGGCCAAGCGAAAGCGUUAAGUAUUCCACCUGGGGAGUACGCCGGCAACGGUGAAACUCAAAGGAAUUGACGGGGGCCCGCACAAGCGGAGGAACAUGUGGUUUAAUUCGAUGAUACGCGAGGAACCUUACCCGGGCUUAAAUUGCAGAUGAAUUACGGUGAAAGCCGUAAGCCGCAAGGCAUCUGUGAAGGUGCUGCAUGGUUGUCGUCAGCUCGUGCCGUGAGGUGUCGGCUUAAGUGCCAUAACGAGCGCAACCCUUGUUGUCAGUUACUAACAGGUCAUGCUGAGGACUCUGACAAGACUGCCAUCGUAAGAUGUGAGGAAGGUGGGGAUGACGUCAAAUCAGCACGGCCCUUACGUCCGGGGCUACACACGUGUUACAAUGGGGGGGUACAGAGGGCCGCUACCACGCGAGUGGAUGCCAAUCCCCAAAACCUCUCUCAGUUCGGACUGGAGUCUGCAACCCGACUCCACGAAGCUGGAUUCGCUAGUAAUCGCGCAUCAGCCACGGCGCGGUGAAUACGUUCCCGGGCCUUGCACACAAAGCCCGUCA